Molecule: long non-coding RNA, 1064 nt
Filed under: Anas platyrhynchos platyrhynchos (common mallard)
Lineage: Eukaryota; Metazoa; Chordata; Aves; Anseriformes; Anatidae
Description: lncRNA (ENSAPLG00000021639.1)
Source: RNAcentral
CAAAAAUAAUCAUUCUUUACUUCUAGAGGUAGAAAAAUGUGCAAUGUUGCAUGUGGCACGCUAAACCUUCACGAAGCAAACACAGCAAGGAAAAACAGGAAUGCAAAAUGCAGUGGCCAGGGCAAGAAGCUCCAUAAUGCCUGUCCUGCCUAAGGCAGUGCUGACUUCCCACUUUUUUUUUUUUUUGCAAAGGAGCCAAGCAGAAAACGCAGGGGUGCUGCAGGUAUUGCUGGCUUGUCCUGGCCCAAAACACCCCCUGGCCCAGCAGAGGGGCUGCAGGCUCUUUAAGGGCUCCUGCCCAGCUCCACCUGGUGCAAGGGCUGGGGGGAGAUGCAGCAGGAAGCAGCAUCACAGCUGGGGGGUUUGGGGGGUGGAGGAAGGUGUCUUGUGGCAGGGAAAUCUGCUGAAAGUGGCCGUGGGUGGCGCUGGCAGAGGGCUGAACACCCCCAGAGGCAUGAGCUUAUGCACUUGGAAAACUUCUCCAGCAUUGGAAAUGAGCCAUCGUGGACAGUAGCAGGGGAUUCUUCUGGAAGCCCUCCAGGCAUGGGCACAGGGUCCCAGCUGGCAGAGCAGGUCUGGCUAUCUGCUGACACCUCAAAAUACACCUCAAAAUACAGAGGAAACUCUAUGCUGUCAUCUCCUGUAGACAGACCUCUGAGUUAUGCAGAUGUGUACCAAUGCAACAGACACAGGUUUCUGCUGAUACAGUGGUUGGUGAUGCAGCUGUUGAGCAGUGCUUGCAGUGGCCAGGAGGUGAUGAUAUAAGAGAUGGGCUAUUUUUAUAGCAGCUGACGGACCCUGGCUCUGUUCAGGUGUGGCUGCAGAAAUCCCUGUUCCUGAUUCAUGCACUGAUAAUAAUGGAGUCCUAGAACCAUUGUUUUUUUUUAACAAUGGAGCAACAAUUGUGCUAUUUUUUUUCUCCCACAAAUUUUGGCUUAAAGAAAGGAUGUAGAGAUGCAGUAAAUUUAUGAGCCAACUAACUAUCUUUGGGAAAUAACAUCUGUAUUCACUGCAAAAUUCUUCUGUCCUGGAAUAAAACAGCCUGGCUGCUGCCUUGGUUUCCA